GGAGGCGUAGCUCAGCUGGUUAGAGUGUUCGGUUCACAUCCGAAAGGUCGUGGGUUCGAGUCCCUCCGUCUCCACCA
Molecule: transfer RNA, 77 nt
Filed under: Clostridium sp. ATCC 29733
Lineage: Bacteria; Bacillati; Bacillota; Clostridia; Eubacteriales; Clostridiaceae
Also listed under: 7 other names
Description: tRNA-Val
Rfam family: tRNA
About the family: Transfer RNA (tRNA) molecules are approximately 80 nucleotides in length.
Source: RNAcentral